GACGAACGCUGGCGGCGUGCUUAACACAUGCAAGUCGAACGGAAAGGCACUAGCUUGCUGGUGUUCUCGAGUGGCGAACGGGUGAGUAACACGUGGGUAACCUGCCCUGCACUUUGGGAUAAGCCUAGGAAACUGGGUCUAAUACAGGAUAUGACCUUUCCUCCUAUUGAAUUCGGUGGAAAUUUUUACGGUGUAGGAUUGUCCGGCGGCCUAUCAGCUUAGUGGGGGGGUGAUGGCCUACCAAGGCGAGGACUGGUAGCCGGCCUGAGAAGGUGAUCGGCGACCAUGGUACUGAGAUACGGCCCAGACUCGUACGGGAGGCAGCGGUGGGGAAUAUUACACAAUGGGCGGGAGCGUGAUGAAGAGACGCCGCGUGAGGAAUGACGGCCUUCUGGUUGUAAACCUCUUUCAGCAGGGACGAAGCGUAAGUGACGGUACCUGAAGAAUAAGCACCGGCUAACUACGUG
Molecule: ribosomal RNA, 467 nt
Filed under: uncultured bacterium
Lineage: Bacteria
Description: partial 16S ribosomal RNA
Rfam family: Bacterial small subunit ribosomal RNA
Source: RNAcentral